Molecule: ribosomal RNA, 573 nt
Filed under: Taphrina populi-salicis
Lineage: Eukaryota; Fungi; Ascomycota; Taphrinomycetes; Taphrinales; Taphrinaceae
Description: eukaryotic LSU rRNA
Rfam family: Eukaryotic large subunit ribosomal RNA
Source: RNAcentral
AAACUAACUAGGAUGCCUUCAGUAACGGCGAGCGAAGCAGGCAUAGCUCAAAUUUGUAAUCUGGCGUCUUUGACGUCCGAGUUGUAUUUACUAGAAGCGAGUUCGGCGACAGCUCCUACCCAAGUCCGUUGGAACGCGGCGUCAUGGAGGGUGAGAAUCCCGUGAAUGGUAGGAUGACUGCUGCUAUGUGAACCGCCUUCAAAGAGUCGAGUUGUUUGGGAAUGCAGCUCUAAAUGGGAGGUAAAUUUCUUCUAAAGCUAAAUAUUGGCCAGAGACCGAUAGCGAACAAGUAGAGUGAUCGAAAGAUGAAAAGAACUUUGAAAAGAGAGUUAAACAGUACGUGAAAUUGUUGAAAGGGAAGCGCUUGAGAUCAGACUUCCUGUCUAAACUGUCCUUGCUUCUGCUUGGAAUCACAGUUUAGGCGUGGAGGCCAGCAUGAGUUUUGACGGCCGGAUAAAGGCCUUGGGAAGGUAGCUCCUUUCGGGGAGUGUUAUAGCCCAGGGUGUAAUACGGCCAGUUGGGACUGAGGACCGCGGCUUUGCCUAGGAUGCUGGCGUAAUGGUCUUAAGCGAC